RNAcentral lists this ribosomal RNA (591 nucleotides) under uncultured bacterium. Its description in RNAcentral is "bacterial SSU rRNA". It matches the Rfam family "Bacterial small subunit ribosomal RNA", at positions 912 to 1510 of the family's 1533-position model. The record is from RNAcentral.
GACGGGGGCCCGCACAAGCGGAGGAACAUGUGGUUUAAUUCGAUGAUACGCGAGGAACCUUACCCGGGCUUGAACUGCAGGAGAACGAUCCAGAGAUGGUGAGGCCCUUCGGGGCUCCUGUGGAGGUGCUGCAUGGUUGUCGUCAGCUCGUGCCGUGAGGUGUCGGCUUAAGUGCCAUAACGAGCGCAACCCCUCUCCGUAGUUGCCAUCAGUUUAAGCUGGGCACUCUGCGGACACUGCCACCGUAAGGUGUGAGGAAGGUGGGGAUGACGUCAAAUCAGCACGGCCCUUACGUCCGGGGCUACACACGUGUUACAAUGGGUGGUACAGAGUGUCGGCCGCACGCAAGUUCGGUCCAAUCAUGAAAUCCAUCCUCAGUUCGGAUUGGGGUCUGCAACCCGACCCCAUGAAGCUGGAUUCGCUAGUAAUCGCGCAUCAGCCAUGGCGCGGUGAAUACGUUCCCGGGCCUUGUACACACCGCCCGUCAAGCCAUGAAAGCCGGGGGCGCCUGAAGUCCGUGACCGCAAGGGUCGGCCUAGGGUGAAACCGGUGAUUGGGGCUAAGUCGUAACAAGGGUAGGCCGUACCGGAA